Molecule: transfer RNA, 66 nt
Filed under: Ciconiphilus decimfasciatus
Lineage: Eukaryota; Metazoa; Arthropoda; Insecta; Psocodea; Menoponidae
Description: tRNA-Glu
Source: RNAcentral
UUUUCAAAUAGUUUAAAAAAAACGUUACUCUUUCAAGGUAGAAAUCCACUUAUUAAGUUUGAUGAA